GGAGUAGGGAGUGGGAUGAGAAGGGGCCUGGGCUGGGAGGACCAGCUGCCCAUGCAUGUCCAGGGCAGCCCCACAGCCCUGCGGAGAAGAGUUCUUUUCCGGUCUCACCUCCAUCCAUCCACCCCCAUGCGUGGCUAAUUUUCCUUUUUAGGGACAGCUGCCCUUCCCGCUCCCCACAGAGUAAUCGGAGCCAGAAUCUCUGCCUGGUUUCUGAGAACCCCAUCUGCCCAGACCUCGCCUGGACUGUGGUUUUAGCAAAUAAUUUGGAUCCUUCUAGAGCUUGGGGGAGGAAGCUUCCGCCCCUUCCUCCUUAGUGGUGUUAAGAAAUGCUCAGCAUUCCUGGGUUAAGAGGGCCAGGGGCCAUUCUUCUCAGCACAGGGACAGACCCAGAGGAACAAAAUGAAGAAGGAACCCAGCACCCGUCCCAGGCUCUCAGCUCCUUCCCGGGGGUCACCUGGGGACUGGCAGCGCUGUGAUUGUGCUACCACGAUACCCCCAUAUCACAGAUGAAGGGGCCAGAGCCCAGAAAGGGUAAGUAACUUGUCCAAGGACACACAGCAGAUAAGUGCAGGGACCAGUAUUUGGACUCCAGAGUUCCUGCUUUUUUGUUUUGUAGAGAUGAGUCUCACUAGGUUGCCCAGGCUGGUUUCCAACUCCUGGCCUAAAGCAAUCCUCCUGCGUCAGCCUCCUGAGUUGCUGGGACUAGAUGCACGGCUACUGCACCCAGCCUGAAGUCCCUGCUUUUAAGUGCUAGGCACACUGCCUCUGGAGAGGGAGGAGGAGAAGUAAAGGCCUGGGUGAGGGGCAGUGAACAUGAGAUACUUGAGAAAAAUAAGAAGGCCCGAGGGGCCAGGUAUCGGUGAUGACUCAUGUCGGUAAUACCAGCACUUUGGGAGGCUGAGGCAAGAGGAUCACUUGAGCCCAGAAGUUUGGGGCCAGCCAGGGCAACAUAGUGAGACCCCCAUCUCUACCAAAAAAUAGAAAAAAUUAGCGGGGCAUGGUGGCACAUGCCUAUGGUCCUGCUACUCAGGAGGCUGAGACAGGAGGAUCACUUGAGUCCGGGAGGUUGAGGCUGCAGUGAGCCAUGAUCAUGCCACUGCACUCCAGCCUAGGUGACAGAGUGAGACCCCGUCUCAAAAACAAACAAACAAAAAACCCCAAGGCUGCGGAGCUGAUGCGGUGGGUAAGGGUGAGACUCAGGACUCCACUUUCUCUGUCCUGCCCAUUGGCGUUCCAGGUAGGACGUCCUUGGGAGACAUGGUUUGCUACGUAUAGCUACAUGGAAAGAUCCCAGGACUAACCAACUUGUAAAGCCCUUAGGGCAGGAAGAUUUUAGGGUAACUCUUGCAUCUGGCUUGGGGUCAGCACGCACUCAGGCCUGCUCUGAGAUGGAGGACCACUGGCUCAGUUUACCUUUGGAAUGGGCAGGGUCGGGGAGCAGCAAGGACAGGGCCAGGAGUUGGGAAGUCCUGGGCCCAUCCCAGACCCUAAGCCCCCUCUGUAACAGUGAGACCCUGGGCACGUCACCUAAGCACUCUGGGCCUCCAAUGAUAAUCCCCUGUCCACCUGGUGUUUUAGUGGGUCAAUAUGACAGCCGCUGUUCAUUCGGCACUGCUAGUGUGUUACCUCGGUGACUCAUUCCGGUGACCUACUGGUCACCCCAUUCAGCAGAUGCUUCCUGGGAAGAUGGUGAAGACAAACUGAGCCUUUAUGUCCGAAUGGCUCUUUACAACCUGCAAAAGGCACUUUCGGACCUAAUUCAAUUUGAUCUUCACACAAAUCCAGAAGCCAGGCAGGCAUGCUUCAUCGUUCCAUUUAAAGUUGAAGAAACUGGCUGAGCACGGUGGCUCAUGCCUGUAAUCCUGUAAUCCCAGCUCUUUGGGAGGCUGAGGAAGGAGAAUUGCUUGAGGCGAGGAGCAACAUGGCAAGACCCUGUCUCUACAAAAAAUAAAAAUAAAAAUAGGUUAGGCACAGUGGCUCAUGCCUGUAAUCCCAG
Molecule: long non-coding RNA, 1996 nt
Filed under: Homo sapiens (human)
Lineage: Eukaryota; Metazoa; Chordata; Mammalia; Primates; Hominidae
Description: HSALNT0277516
Source: RNAcentral